GAUGAACGCUGGCGGCGUGCCUAACACAUGCAAGUCGAACGGGAAUAGGAUGAAACCUAGUGAUUCCUAUUCUAGUGGCGGACGGGUGAGUAACGCGUGGGUAACCUGCCUUGCACUGGGGGAUAACACUUAGAAAUAGGUGCUAAUACCGCAUAAGCGCACAGAACCGCAUGGUUCAGUGUGAAAAACUCCGGGGGUGUAAGAUGGACCCGCGUCUGAUUAGCUGGUUGGUGAGGUAACGGCUCACCAAGGCGACGAUCAGUAGCCGGCCUGAGAGGGUGAACGGCCACAUUGGGACUGAGACACGGCCCAA
Molecule: ribosomal RNA, 313 nt
Filed under: uncultured bacterium
Lineage: Bacteria
Description: bacterial SSU rRNA
Rfam family: Bacterial small subunit ribosomal RNA
Source: RNAcentral